UCAUGAUCCACUUGCCUCGGCCUCCCAAAGUGCUGCGAUUACAGGCAUGAGCCACCGUACCUGGCCAAGCUAUUCUUAAAAAAGGAAAAGUAGCACUUCACGUCUGGAAGGAUGGGAUGUUAAUCAGACUGAACAUAAAAACAUAUAUAAAGAAUGUGUCAUUCAGAAUGGUAAAUGUUGGUGGAUUGGUCAGUUCAGUGGAGAAAUCCAGGAAAAGGCACAUCACUGAGUAAAUGUUGGCAAUGACCUUCUAAACUUAUGGGGGAAUUUUGUGAUUUGAUUUCUAUGCAGGCUCACCUAGGUGAAGUAAAUGUGCUGAUCAUAUGACCUUUAAUUAGUCUGGCCUCUGUAAUAGUUAUUUCUAAUUAUAAAUUAGUAGAUGGACUUUUGACUCAGGGAAGGGAAGUACUUAUCCUAUGGAUGUCAGUGUUUUGAUUACUGUGAUAACAUUUUCUCACUGUAAAUUAAUAAGCUGGCAUGCUGUAUUACAAGUCAGCCCAUGGAGUUUGGUUAUUAUGGUUCAGAUGAAAGAAGUAUCUGCUCUAGGAGUAUUGACACAAUCAUUCCUGCAUCUUCUGGGUUGAGGGAAGUCAGAUUCCAAUGUGUGAUGAUUUCUUAAGGAAAGUACCUCUGCCCUUUAAUUUCUUUGGGAAACAUCUUGCUGGCCUGUUUUCUGGUGUUGACAAUAAUGAUACACUAGAAGUAUUUAUUUCUACAAUCUGAACACUAACUGUAUGGAUAGAAUGUCCACCUCCUGCCUCCUUUCUUUCUAUCUUAAAGCUUUAUGUUGGGUACCUUAGCAAUAAGUAUAUGAUCAAGAUGGAAACUUCAUCCACCGCAUGUGUAUUUCAGUGCUGAACUCACCAAUGGACAUUUGAUGACACGAUCCAAAAAUUACAUAGAUUACCGAAGAACAGAAAGCUGCAUAAGCGAUGUUGAGAGGAGGAAUCAGUUGCCUUGCCAGCAAACUAAGUGUCAGGCCUGAAAAACAAGAUAAUUUAAGAAAAAGCAGCUUGUCUUUAAAAGUCACCUUAAAUAAAAACUGUAAAGAAUAUUUAAAAUAAAAAUCAUCCAUGUGUAUAGCUGACUGAGUGUGGUAAUAGUAUUUCUGGACAUACAAUCCUUCAUUAGCACUUUUUAUUAUCUUCUUUGAUUCCUAGCUUCUCUUCCUAUUUUGCCACAUGCUUUUACACUUUAAUUCAAUAUCAUAGGCUGAAACAUCAUUCACUGCAAGGUCUUAAUACUAAACAUGUAAAGCAAAUACCAUAGCAAUAAGACCCCUAAUUCCAACAGCUCAAAAGCAGCCCCAUCCUUAUGCCUAGUCUAGCACAAGCAGGCCGUGGGAAUUCUCCAGGGCUGAAGAUAAAACUGGAGAGCAAGGCAAGAAUCACACUUCACUGACUUGAAGUUGGUAUGUGUUGGUUCUCUUCCAUAGGCCAAUCACUCCAGCCUCUUCCUUCAGCUGCUUCUCUAAUACUUACUUUCUUUUCUAAGAAGCACCAUGAGAAUUUGGAAAUUUUGAAGCAAAUGGACUAACAGGCAUAGUGUCAUCCUUUUGAUGUUUCAAGCCCCUAUUUCCUUCCCUAAGAGUCUGUCCUCAAUUUACAUCAUACUGAUAUACUCAUCUAAAUUCAGUUAUGAAUUUAGUGAGGUGGUUUAUUGUCUUAGAUAAGCAAGGCUCCUUUUUAUAAGACAUUUCAAACACAUCCAAAAAUAGAGUAUAAUGAAUUCCAUAUACCCAUCAUCCACUUCAACAAUGGUUAACCCAUAACCAAUCUAUGCUUCUACUCCUCUCUCACCCUAUAUUACUUUGAGGCAAAUCCAAGGCAUUCGAUUAUUUAAUCUGUAGAUAUUUUGGUAUGUGUCUCUAAAUGAUAAUACUCUUCUAAUUUAAGUACAAUAUCAUCAUUAUCCACUCAGUGUUCAAAUUUCCCUGAUUAUCUUACAAAUGAUUGUUGUGGUAGAGGGUCUCUAAUAUGAUCCACAAUGGCCAGUUGGUAUUCUUUUUCUUUUUUUUUUGAGACGGAGUCUUGCUCUGUUGCCCAGGCUGGAGUGCAGUGGCGCGAUCUCGGCUCCCCGCGAGCUCCACCUUCUGGGUUCAUGCCAUUCUCCUGCCUCAGCCUCCCGAGUAGCUGGAACUACAGGCGCCCACCACCAUGCCCGGCUAAUUUUUUAUAUUUUUAGUAGAGAUGGGGUUUCACCGUGUUAGCCAGGAUGGUCUCGAUCUCCUGACCUCGUGAUCCACCCGCCUCGGCCUCCCAAAGUGCUGGGAUUACAGGCGUGAGCCACCGCGCCCAGCCAGGCCAAUUGUCUUCUUGCCCUUGUACAAUUUCCUCCCCAUUAAGUGUGGAAUAGACUUAACCAAUUUGUUUCUAAGGAGUAGACUAUAACAAAAAUGACAGGAUGUCACUUCUGAGAUUAGGUUGCAAAAAGACUUUGGUUUCCAUCUUGGUUGCUCUCUCAUUCAGGUCAUUACCUGCCAGAGGUGGCUUCAAAGGUUUGUAAUCUAUGCAGUCAAGACAGAGUCCUGGGCUUAGAAGGACUUUGCACUUCGUUUAAUGCUUUGCUGUCACUGUCUUGAAAUUCUGAAUAAUUUUUGAACUAAGGGCCCUGUGUUUUUAUUUUGUAUUGGGCCCAACACAUAUAGUUGGUCCUGCCAGCUGCCAUGUUGUGAAUAUGGAGAAGCCAGAAUGGGGAGGAACUCAGGCCUGCCAACAGCUGCAUGAGUGAGCCUGGAAGCAGAUCCUCCAGCCUCAGUAGACCCUUGAGAUAACUGCAAUCUCACGAGAGACCUCGAACCAGAGUGCUGUGCUAGAGUUGGAUUUCAGCCACAGCUUGUUCAUGUUCUUGACCUCUUUUGUGCUAUCCACAACCUGCCCGAUCACAAGCUUCAACCCUGCCUGUUGAGCCUCAGAAAAAUAGAGAAAUGGAGCACAAGUAAUUGUUUACCCUGGGCACGUGGACAAGGUCUGAUACAUUGUCUUUGGAUGAACAGGCUUCAUAUCUUCCUUACCUUGGGGAACUUGCACAAGGCCAACACUUAUACCAGCAAGAACUCAGACAAGAAAGAGAAACGGACCCCAAAGGAGUCAGGUUAGGUUUCAGUCCUGCCCGGCUCGGCAGCAGGUGAAAGAUUGGACACACGCACCGGCACUGGACGUGGUGUCUGAAGGUGGUGAUGUUGAUGUUCAUGUUCCCAGAAGAGGAGGCCUUCCUUUUGUGUUCCUGUUGAAAGGUCUCCUCAUUGUAUACUUCACGCUUAACAUCAUAUGCGAAUGAGUUUCGCCUGGACUUAGAGCUGAAGCCAGAGAUGGCGCUCCUCUCUAGUUGUGCCAUUCCUGGAUGAGUGGAAAGAGAGCAAAUAAAAGAGCAUUUUCAGU
This 3380-nucleotide long non-coding RNA is filed under the name Homo sapiens (human). Its description in RNAcentral is "HSALNT0105532". The record is from RNAcentral. Lineage: Eukaryota; Metazoa; Chordata; Mammalia; Primates; Hominidae.